Non-coding RNA from Pimephales promelas (fathead minnow), 327 nucleotides. The record is from RefSeq and is a predicted model, not a curated record. Lineage: Eukaryota; Metazoa; Chordata; Actinopteri; Cypriniformes; Leuciscidae.
AACUUCCAUCAAGGUAACCUUACUAGGCUUCCUUCUGAAGUGUUAAUCAUUGGUGAAGUCAUAAGGCACACUGUUAAUCAGAUAGUGGCGUCGGACGCGCCUCACCUUCCCAAAUGUCCCUUUACCAAUCACAGCCAGAAAGUCGAAGUCGGUGGGUUUGGCACUGAAGCACACAAGACAACACAAACUCUAACGGGAUCCAUCUUACUGAGGAUUGACAGACACACCCAGAUUGACCUCGUCUGAUGGAGACGCUGAUAAUGGCUGGAGGGGACAUCAAACGUGUGUUAAACGGCAUGGCUAAUCUAGAAGCUGAAGCUGUAACAG